UUCCAGACUCCUACGGGAGGCAGCAGUGGGGGAUAUUGCACAAUGGGGGAAACCCUGAUGCAGCGACGCCGCGUGGGCGAAGAAGUAUUUCGGUAUGUAAAGCCCUAUCAGCAGGGAAGAAGAAAUGACGGUACCUGAGUAAGAAGCACCGGCUAAAUACGUGCCAGCAGCCGCGGUAAUACGUAUGGUGCAAGCGUUAUCCGGAUUUACUGGGUGUAAAGGGAGCGCAGGCGGCACGGCAAGCCUGAUGUGAAAGCCCGCGGCCCAACCGCGGGACUGCAUUGGGAACUACCGGGCUGGAGUGCCGGAGAGGUAGGCGGAAUUCCUAGUGUAGCGGUGAAAUGCGUAGAUAUUAGGAGGAACACCAGUGGCGAAGGCGACUUUCUGGACUGUACCUGACGCUGAGGCGCGAAAGCGUGGGUAGCGAACGGGAUUAGAUACCCUCGUA
RNAcentral lists this ribosomal RNA (448 nucleotides) under uncultured bacterium. Its description in RNAcentral is "bacterial SSU rRNA". It matches the Rfam family "Bacterial small subunit ribosomal RNA", at positions 329 to 792 of the family's 1533-position model. The record is from RNAcentral.